UCAGCCGUAAGGCGAAGCUCCUGAUCGAAGCCCCAGUAAACGGCGGCCGUAACUAUAACGGUCCUAAGGUAGCGAAAUUCCUUGUCGGGUAAGUUCCGACCUGCACGAAUGGCGUAAUGAUGGCCAGGCUGUCUCCACCCGAGACUCAGUGAAAUUGAACUCGCUGUGAAGAUGCAGUGUACCCGCGGCAAGACGGAAAGACCCCGUGAACCUUUACUAUAGCUUGACACUGAACAUUGAGCCUUGAUGUGUAGGAUAGGUGGGAGGCUUUGAAGUGUGGACGCCAGUCUGCAUGGAGCCAACCUUGAAAUACCACCCUUUAACGUUUGAUGUUCUAACCUAGGCCCAUAAACUGGGUCGGGGACCGUGUCUGGUGGGUAGUUUGACUGGGGCGGUCUCCUCCUAAAGAGUAACGGAGGAGCACGAAGGUUGGCUAAGCAUGGUCGGACAUCAUGCGGUUAGUGCAAAGGCAUAAGCCAGCUUGACUGCGAGAGUGACGGCUCGAGCAGGUACGAAAGUAGGUCUUAGUGAUCCGGUGGUUCUGAAUGGAAGGGCCAUCGCUCAACGGAUAAAAGGUACUCCGGGGAUAACAGGCUGAUACCGCCCAAGAGUUCAUAUCGACGGCGGUGUUUGGCACCUCGAUGUCGGCUCAUCACAUCCUGGGGCUGAAGUAGGUCCCAAGGGUAUGGCUGUUCGCCAUUUAAAGUGGUACGCGAGCUGGGUUUAGAACGUCGUGAGACAGUUCGGUCCCUAUCUGCCGUGGGCGUUGGAAGAUUGAGAGGGGUUGCUCCUAGUACGAGAGGACCGGAGUGAACGCACCACUGGUGUUCGGGUUGUCAUGCCAAUGGCAUUGCCCGGUAGCUAAGUGCGGAAGAGAUAACCGCUGAAAGCAUCUAAGCGGGAAACUUGCC
RNAcentral lists this ribosomal RNA (911 nucleotides) under Proteus mirabilis. Its description in RNAcentral is "partial 23S ribosomal RNA". It matches the Rfam family "Bacterial large subunit ribosomal RNA", at positions 1890 to 2798 of the family's 2925-position model. Lineage: Bacteria; Pseudomonadati; Pseudomonadota; Gammaproteobacteria; Enterobacterales; Morganellaceae. The record is from RNAcentral.